This 22-nucleotide small RNA is filed under the name Arabidopsis thaliana (thale cress). RNAcentral's name for it is "Ath_wt_14226". Lineage: Eukaryota; Viridiplantae; Streptophyta; Magnoliopsida; Brassicales; Brassicaceae. The record is from RNAcentral.
GAGCAUGCCUGUCGGGACCCGA